Long non-coding RNA from Mauremys reevesii (Reeves's turtle), 205 nucleotides. RefSeq lists it as uncharacterized. The record is from RefSeq and is a predicted model, not a curated record. Lineage: Eukaryota; Metazoa; Chordata; Testudines; Geoemydidae. The transcript has 3 exons.
AUAUUCUUGUUGCCUGGGUGUUGCAAUGCCUGGAAGACCUGGAAAUAAGGCAACCUCCCUUUCCUGUGCUUUAUUGAAAAUGGGAUUGGACUUUAAUAACACAGCAACAACAACAGCUUCAGCCUAUCUCAACUAACUUCACUUUUUCCCAAAAGGACAGUUAUUGCCACCUAAGAGACUGUCAAACACGGGCUUUAUUCCGGGU